RNAcentral lists this ribosomal RNA (489 nucleotides) under uncultured bacterium. RNAcentral's name for it is "partial 16S ribosomal RNA". It matches the Rfam family "Bacterial small subunit ribosomal RNA", at positions 28 to 507 of the family's 1533-position model. The record is from RNAcentral.
GACGAACGCUGGCGGCGUGCUUAACACAUGCAAGUCGAACGGAAAGGCCCCCACCUUGGUGGGGGUGCUCGAGUGGCGAACGGGUGAGUAACACGUGGGUGAUCUGCCCUGUACUUCGGGAUAAGCUUGGGAAACUGGGUCUAAUACCGGAUAGGACCAUGGUUUAGUGUCUCAUGGUGGAAAAAUUAUUGUUUUGGUGCAGGAUGAGCUCGCGGCCUAUCAGCUUGUUGGUGGGGUAAUGGCCUACCAAGGCGUCGACGGGUAGCCGGCCUGAGAGGGUGGACGGCCUGAUUGGGACUGAGAUACGACCCAGACUCCUACGGGAGGCAGAAGUGGGGAAUAUUGCACAAUGGGCGCAAGCCUGAUGCAGCGCGGCCGAGUGGGGGAUGACGGCCUUCGGGUUGUAAACUCCUUUCGUUAGGGACGAAGCCACACCUUUUUUGGGUGUGGUGACGGUACCUUUGUUAAGAAGCACCGGCUAACUACGUG